RNAcentral lists this transfer RNA (86 nucleotides) under Candidatus Competibacter sp. Its description in RNAcentral is "tRNA-Leu". It matches the Rfam family "tRNA". From Rfam's summary of the family: Transfer RNA (tRNA) molecules are approximately 80 nucleotides in length. Lineage: Bacteria; Pseudomonadati; Pseudomonadota; Gammaproteobacteria; Candidatus Competibacteraceae. The record is from RNAcentral.
GCCGGGAUGGCGGAAUGGUAGACGCAGUGGACUCAAAAUCCACCGGGGGCAACCUCGUGAGAGUUCGAGUCUCUCUCCCGGCACCA